ACGAAUUUGUACGUGUAAGAAAAUCAUCAAAAUGAAAUUGUUGUUUUUAGUAGCCGUCGUAGCAGCUGUAUGGGUGGUAGAAGCUCAGCAUCAUUGUGACAGCAACCAUGAUUGUGCAGCCGUGAUCCACUGUCAAGCUCACGAAGAACAUCACUGUAAUCUGCAUGAUGGAAAAUGUGAAUGUAGAGACCGCAAUGUUGGAGCCCCACCAGGUACCUGUACUGAUGAUGACUUGUCUAACUGUCAGUGUGAACAUGGCGGAACCCCAGGAUGUCUACACGGUCAUUGUCACUGUAAUCAUCAUUAAAAAUAAACUCUAUAAACGGUCUGGAAACAAGUCCUUUUAAUAUUGA
Molecule: long non-coding RNA, 353 nt
Organism: Patella vulgata (common limpet)
Lineage: Eukaryota; Metazoa; Mollusca; Gastropoda; Patellidae
Exons: 3
Source: RefSeq, a predicted model, not a curated record